UACAGAGGGGGCAAGCGUUGUUCGGAAUUACUGGGCGUAAAGGGCGCGUAGGCGGCCUGUUAAGUCGAACGUGAAAUCCCCGGGCUCAACCCGGGAACUGCGUCCGGUACUGGCAGGCUUGAAUCCGGGAGAGGGAUGCGGAAUUCCAGGUGUAGCGGUGAAAUGCGUAGAUAUCUGGAGGAACACCGGUGGCGAAGGCGGCAUCCUGGACCGGUAUUGACGCUGAGGCGCGAAAGCCAGGGGAGCAAACGGG
Molecule: ribosomal RNA, 253 nt
Filed under: uncultured bacterium
Lineage: Bacteria
Description: partial 16S ribosomal RNA
Rfam family: Bacterial small subunit ribosomal RNA
Source: RNAcentral